This is a long non-coding RNA of Notothenia coriiceps (black rockcod), 1577 nucleotides long. RefSeq lists it as uncharacterized. The record is from RefSeq and is a predicted model, not a curated record. The transcript has 3 exons. NCBI's taxonomy places the organism in Eukaryota, Metazoa, Chordata, Actinopteri, Perciformes, Nototheniidae.
UGAGGACAGGGUACAGGUACAUAGAGUGGUGCAGUGAUGACGUAUUUUUAUAGGCCGACCCGAAGUUGGGAUCUAAGUGCUCCAUCGACAAUAAGCAAUGUGAUUCUUUCAUUGGGUUUUGGAAUAUUCCAGAAGAAAACACACACGUUUAUAAUACUUACACUGUUUGUGUGUUUGCUCAGGCUGAGAUCUACAAGGCAGAUUUCCUAGCAGAGCGAGAAGCGAGAGAGAAGCUGAACCAGAAGAAGGAGGAGCUGCAGGAUCAGCUGACUCAGGCCCUGACUGAGAUUGACAGGCUCAAACAGGAAGCCACAUCACGAGCACGCAUCGAGCAGAUGAAGCUGAGACACCUGGAAGACUUUCCAACAAGGGCGCCACACAUUCCCCCCCCUCAAGCUUUCAACACGGUGCCCCCGGCCCCCUCGUUCCGCCAUAAGGGUUUGGCCCCCCUCGGUGAUCAAGGAGCCGCUGGUGCUGAGGAGCUGCCUGAUUUAUGUUGUCCUAAGUGCCAGUACCAGGCUCCAGAUAUGGACACACUGCAGAUACAUGUCAUGGACUGUAUACAGUAACAUGAGCGUACAGCCCACAUACACCUACAGAUUUACAUAGAAAGUACAUUUAAUUUUCUCACGUUUCCUAGUGUCUACUCCUAGCAUUGGGCACAACUUGAUAAACAUCUUUGGUUGUGGCCCCUUGCUCUCUGACACACACUUCAAAACAGACACACAAACCAAAAUACUUGCUGUACAUCUUACAAUUUUAACAAUCGAAUAUGUUGGAAACAAGACCAUUGGCAAUCAAAUGACAGUAUGAAGUGAAAGCGGAGAAUGACAGCAAAUAAUGAGCACGGUAUUUUCCUAGAAGGUGCUCAAUGGAUUACAAAUUGUGCUGUAGCUUUUAAAUUCUGCAACUCGUGCUUUUCGCGUCUUUCUCUUUACUCCUUUUUCUUUUUCCCUCUUCAUGCCUUGCCUCUGAGAUGGCCCACUGACAAACAUGUCCAUCAGUAUUUGUAUAUGAAUCCUGAUAUCUUGUCUCUCUUUGCUCUUGUGGGAUAGUGGCAAUCGAGGAGGUAAAUACAUACUGUGGAAUAAGUGUGUAUAGUUUGACUGUAUCCUCCAGGUUAUACACGUGUACAAUAGAUAAAUGGGGCCUUCAAAUGAGAAAUCGAAGGACAAUGUGAAUAACCUAGUGAGCUUUGAAUUAUAUACAAUACUCAAAUAUGUUUUGGUCAUAAAUGUUGCUGUAUACAUUACCUCCAAACAUGUAUUAUUAUUAUGAAUUAGAGAUGAAUUUACUCUAAUUGAAAAAAGUAGCCAUUCUCUGUGUUCUGUGCCUGUGUACACCUCUGACUGCACCACUGCUUUAACCCCGACUCUGAACGCACACCCCCUCUGUCUGUGCCCUUUAUUCAGUCUUAUCUAUACCUGUAGCACCUUGCUAUUUAUCUCUCCGCAGGCAAGCACAUCAAGGGUCCUUCACAGUUUGUGUGAAUAUUGUCUGUAAUGAUGGAUCAUUUGGUUCAAAGAUUAUCGUUUCAAACUGUUGAAGAUUUAAAUAAAUGUGUUAUUCAGAUUGUA